Molecule: ribosomal RNA, 663 nt
Filed under: Escherichia coli
Lineage: Bacteria; Pseudomonadati; Pseudomonadota; Gammaproteobacteria; Enterobacterales; Enterobacteriaceae
Description: partial 23S ribosomal RNA
Rfam family: Bacterial large subunit ribosomal RNA
Source: RNAcentral
UGAAAUUGAACUCGCUGUGAAGAUGCAGUGUACCCGCGGCAAGACGGAAAGACCCCGUGAACCUUUACUAUAGCUUGACACUGAACAUUGAGCCUUGAUGUGUAGGAUAGGUGGGAGGCUUUGAAGUGUGGACGCCAGUCUGCAUGGAGCCGACCUUGAAAUACCACCCUUUAAUGUUUGAUGUUCUAACGUUGACCCGUAAUCCGGGUUGCGGACAGUGUCUGGUGGGUAGUUUGACUGGGGCGGUCUCCUCCUAAAGAGUAACGGAGGAGCACGAAGGUUGGCUAAUCCUGGUCGGACAUCAGGAGGUUAGUGCAAUGGCAUAAGCCAGCUUGACUGCGAGCGUGACGGCGCGAGCAGGUGCGAAAGCAGGUCAUAGUGAUCCGGUGGUUCUGAAUGGAAGGGCCAUCGCUCAACGGAUAAAAGGUACUCCGGGGAUAACAGGCUGAUACCGCCCAAGAGUUCAUAUCGACGGCGGUGUUUGGCACCUCGAUGUCGGCUCAUCACAUCCUGGGGCUGAAGUAGGUCCCAAGGGUAUGGCUGUUCGCCAUUUAAAGUGGUACGCGAGCUGGGUUUAGAACGUCGUGAGACAGUUCGGUCCCUAUCUGCCGUGGGCGCUGGAGAACUGAGGGGGGCUGCUCCUAGUACGAGAGGACCGGAGUG